AGCAGCCGCGGUAAUUCCAGCUCCAAUAGCGUAUAUUAAAGUUGUUGCAGUUAAAAGCUCGUAGUUGAAUUUCGGGGUUAGUAGGUUGGUCGUGCCACUGGUACGUACUGGUCUCACUGAUUCCUCCUUCCUGAUGAACUGUAAUGCCAUUAAUUUGGUGUUGCAGGGAAACUGGACUGUUACUUUGAAAAAAUUAGAGUGUUUAAAGCAAGCUAACGCUUGAAUACAUUAGCAUGGAAUAAUGAAAUAGGACGUUCGAUCCUAUUUUGUUGGUUUCUAGGAUUGACGUAAUGAUUAAUAGGGAUAGUUGGGGGCAUUAGUAUUCAAUUGUCAGAGGUGAAAUUCUUGGAUUUAUUGAAGACUAACUACUGCGAAAGCAUUUGCCAAGGAUGUUUUCAUUAAUCAAGAACGAAAGUUAGGGGAUCGAAGACGAUCAGAUACCGUCGUAGUCUUAACCAUAAACUAUGCCGACUAGGGAUCGGAUGAUGUUAAUUUUUUAAUGACUCAUUCGGCGCCUUAC
This 520-nucleotide ribosomal RNA is filed under the name uncultured Glomus. Its description in RNAcentral is "SSU rRNA". It matches the Rfam family "Eukaryotic small subunit ribosomal RNA", at positions 569 to 1091 of the family's 1831-position model. Lineage: Eukaryota; Fungi; Glomeromycota; Glomeromycetes; Glomerales; Glomeraceae. The record is from RNAcentral.